Telopea speciosissima is the source of this 217-nucleotide long non-coding RNA. RefSeq lists it as uncharacterized. NCBI's taxonomy places the organism in Eukaryota, Viridiplantae, Streptophyta, Magnoliopsida, Proteales, Proteaceae. The record is from RefSeq and is a predicted model, not a curated record. The transcript is spliced from 3 exons.
GACUGUCUAGUAGGUCUCCUACUCCUACAGCUACUAGGGUGGCUCCUAGCUCUGGGACAAUUGCUAAGAAAAGAAAGGUUACUCAGCCUCAAGUAAGGGGUCCCAUGGAUGCUCAUGUUAGACGGACUCCUGAGCAAGUAGUCAAUGAGAGGCAUAAUAGUAGUUCUACUCAGACUACUAUAGAGAACCGUUUUAGGACACCAGAACAAAAAGCCAG